GCCGGGAUUCCCUAGCCUGGUAAGGGGCAGAUUCGAUGAGCCUGUGGCCUUUUUAGGCCUCGUGGGUUCAAAUCCCACUCCCGGCG
Molecule: transfer RNA, 86 nt
Filed under: Nitrososphaerales archaeon
Lineage: Archaea; Thermoproteati; Nitrososphaerota; Nitrososphaeria; Nitrososphaerales
Description: tRNA-Ile
Rfam family: tRNA
About the family: Transfer RNA (tRNA) molecules are approximately 80 nucleotides in length. Their secondary structure includes four short double-helical elements and three loops (D, anti-codon, and T loops).
Source: RNAcentral